This 453-nucleotide ribosomal RNA is filed under the name uncultured bacterium. Its description in RNAcentral is "bacterial SSU rRNA". It matches the Rfam family "Bacterial small subunit ribosomal RNA", at positions 30 to 478 of the family's 1533-position model. The record is from RNAcentral.
AUUGAACGCUGGCGGCAUGCUUUACACAUGCAAGUCGAACGGUAACAGGGCCUUCGGGUGCUGACGAGUGGCGAACGGGUGAGUAAUGCAUCGGAACGUGCCCAGUCGUGGGGGAUAACGUAGCGAAAGUUACGCUAAUACCGCAUAAGCCCUGAGGGGGAAAGUGGGGGACCGCAAGGCCUCACGCGACUGGAGCGGCCGAUGUCAGAUUAGCUAGUUGGUGGGGUAAAGGCCCACCAAGGCGACGAUCUGUAGCGGGUCUGAGAGGAUGAUCCGCCACACUGGGACUGAGACACGGCCCAGACUCCUACGGGAGGCAGCAGUGGGGAAUUUUGGACAAUGGGCGCAAGCCUGAUCCAGCCAUGCCGCGUGCGGGACGAAGGCCUUCGGGUUGUAAACCGCUUUCAGCCGGAAAGAAAUCGCUGUUUUUAAUACGGACAGUGGAUGACGUAC